AUUGAACGCUGGCGGCAUGCUUAACACAUGUAAGUCGAACGGCAGCAUGUUGUGUAGCAAUGCACAAUGAUGGCGAGUGGCGGACGGGUGAGUAACGCGUAGGAAUAUGCCUUAAAGAGGGGGACAACCCGAGGAAACUCGGGCUAAUACCGCAUAAAAUCGAGAGAUCAAAGUUGGGGCAACCUGACACUUUAAGAGUAGCCUGCGUCUGAUUAGCUAGUUGGUUAGGUAAAAGCUGACCAAGGCGAUGAUCAGUAGCUGGUCUGAGAGGAUGAUCAGACACACUGGGACUGAGACACGGCCCAGACUCCUACGGGAGGCAGCAGUGGGGAAUAUUGGACAAUGGGGGCAACCCUGAUCCAGCAAUGCCGCGUGUGUGAAGAAGGCCUUCGGGUUGUAAAGCACUUUAGUUGGGGAAGAAGGUUAUUUGUUUAAGAGAUGAGUAAUUUGACGGUACCCAAAGAAUAAGCACCGGCUAACUCUGUGCCAGCCGCCGCCGUAA
RNAcentral lists this ribosomal RNA (502 nucleotides) under uncultured bacterium. RNAcentral's name for it is "partial 16S ribosomal RNA". It matches the Rfam family "Bacterial small subunit ribosomal RNA", at positions 30 to 523 of the family's 1533-position model. The record is from RNAcentral.